This 1487-nucleotide ribosomal RNA is filed under the name Sphingobium sp. Its description in RNAcentral is "partial 16S ribosomal RNA". It matches the Rfam family "Bacterial small subunit ribosomal RNA". The record is from RNAcentral. Lineage: Bacteria; Pseudomonadati; Pseudomonadota; Alphaproteobacteria; Sphingomonadales; Sphingobiaceae.
GGGCGCUGACCGGCAGCUAUAAUGCAGUCGACGAGAUCUUCGGAUCUAGUGGCGCACGGGUGCGUAACGCGUGGGAAUCUGCCCUUGGGUUCGGAAUAACUUCUGGAAACGGAAGCUAAUACCGGAUGAUGACGUAAGUCCAAAGAUUUAUCGCCCAAGGAUGAGCCCGCGUAGGAUUAGCUAGUUGGUGGGGUAAAGGCCCACCAAGGCGACGAUCCUUAGCUGGUCUGAGAGGAUGAUCAGCCACACUGGGACUGAGACACGGCCCAGACUCCUACGGGAGGCAGCAGUAGGGAAUAUUGGACAAUGGGGGAAAGCCCUGAUUCCAGCCAAUGCCGGCGUGAGUGAUGAAGGCCCUUAGGGGUUGUAAAGCUCUUUUUACCCCGGGAUGAUAAUGACAGUACCCGGGAGAAUAAGCUCCGGCUAACUCCGUGCCAGCAGCCGCGGUAAUACGGAGGGAGCUAGCGUUGUUCGGAAUUACUGGGCGUAAAGCGCACGUAGGCGGCUAUUCAAGUCAGAGGUGAAAGCCCGGGGCUCAACCCCGGAACUGCCUUUGAAACUAGAUAGCUUGAAUCCAGGAGAGGUGAGUGGAAUUCCGAGUGUAGAGGUGAAAUUCGUAGAUAUUCGGAAGAACACCAGUGGCGAAGGCGGCUCACUGGACUGGUAUUGACGCUGAGGUGCGAAAGCGUGGGGAGCAAACAGGAUUAGAUACCCUGGUAGUCCACGCCGUAAACGAUGAUAACUAGCUGUCAGGGCACAUGGUGUUUUGGUGGCGCAGCUAACGCAUUAAGUUAUCCGCCUGGGGAGUACGGUCGCAAGAUUAAAACUCAAAGGAAUUGACGGGGGCCUGCACAAGCGGUGGGAGCAUGUGGUUUUAAUUCGAAGCAACGCGCAGAACCUUACCAACGUUUUGACAUCCCUAUCGCGGGAUCGUGGAGACACUUUUCCUUCAGUUCGGCUGGAUAGUGGACAGGUGCUGCAUGGGCUGUCGUCCGCUUCGUGUCCUGGAGAUGUUGGGGUUAAGUUCCCGCAACGAAGCGCAACCCUUCGCCUUUUAGUUGGCAGGCAUUUUAGUUGGGGUACUCCUAAAAGAAACCCGCCGGGUGAAUAAGCCCGGAAGGAAAGGUGGGGGGAUGAACGUCCAAGUCCCUCCUUGGCCCCUUUACCCCGUUUGGGGCUAAACCCCCGUGGCUAACAAUGGGGCGAACUACAAUGGGGGGCAACCCCCCCUUCCCCCAAAAGGGGAAGCUUAUUCUCCCCAAAAAUCCUUUUCCCAAUUUCGGAAAACGUUUUUUUUUGCAAACUCCCAAAAGAGCGGGAAAGGGGGGGGAAAUCCCCUUUUUAAAAUUCCGGAUCAGCAUGCCGCGGUGAAUACGUUCCCAGGCCUUGUACACACCGCCCGUCACACCAUGGGAGUUGGAUUCACUCGAAGGCGUUGAGCUAACCGUAAGGAGGCAGGCGACACACAGUUGGCUACGCAAUCUUCU